Molecule: non-coding RNA, 577 nt
Organism: Arachis ipaensis
Lineage: Eukaryota; Viridiplantae; Streptophyta; Magnoliopsida; Fabales; Fabaceae
Source: RefSeq, a predicted model, not a curated record
AAAAUCUAGAAUUGAGUUUAUAUUAAGAAUAUAACAUUUUGUAUAUAAAAAACCUUCUAAUUUUUACCACUUUUCUUUCAGAUAAGAGAGAUUCGCCAGAAAUAUGAUAUGGUGACCUACCUGUUGGAGUAUAUUGACUAUCCUGACCAAAAUUGAUCUGCUGUCAGUUCCAUUUGGCGAGGGGAUGUCUGAUGUAGCUUCAAGCAGGGACCUGCGCCUUUUAUUGGAUUGGUGUCCGGAAAAGGGUUGGACAGUGCCUAUGCCCACUGUACGUACUUAUAAUCCCAUAAUUUGGCUUAUCUUUCUAUCUGUAAUUAUUAAUUAAUAUUCAAUACAUAGUACGAUAUUUACUCCGUAUAAGUGAAAUGAUGUUACAUUAUACCAUAUUUUGAACUUAAAUGAUCUUUCAUUUUCUUUAGGAUUAUCUGUUUUAUAAUGGAGCCUUUAGGUUUGUUCAAGUUCAGUAUAUGAGCUUUCUGCAUAAUUGGUUUCUAGAAUGAAAAUAUUGUGGCAAUGUGCUAUUAUUGGGUGGGAGAGGAUUGCCUAUAUUAAGAGCAUUUUCUUUCUUCUGAAUUUC